UAAGUGCAUGUAUACAACAGCCACAUUGUC
RNAcentral lists this non-coding RNA (30 nucleotides) under Rattus norvegicus (Norway rat). The record is from RNAcentral. Lineage: Eukaryota; Metazoa; Chordata; Mammalia; Rodentia; Muridae.